RNAcentral lists this ribosomal RNA (497 nucleotides) under uncultured bacterium. RNAcentral's name for it is "bacterial SSU rRNA". It matches the Rfam family "Bacterial small subunit ribosomal RNA", at positions 16 to 507 of the family's 1533-position model. The record is from RNAcentral.
AUCCUGGCUCAGAUUGAACGCUGGCGGCAUGCCUUACACAUGCAAGUCGAACGGCAGCACGGACUUCGGGUCUGGUGGCGAGUGGCGAACGGGUGAGUAAUGCAUCGGAACGUGCCAUUGAGUGGGGAUAACGUAGCGAAAGUUGCGCUAAUACCGCAUAUUCUGUGAGCAGGAAAGCAGGGGACCGCAAGGCCUUGCGCUCUUUGAGCGGCCGAUGUCAGAUUAGCUAGUUGGUGAGGUAAAGGCUUACCGAGGCGACGAUCUGUAGCGGGGUCUGAGAGGAUGAUCCGCCACACUGGAACUGAGACACGGUCCAGACUCCUACGGGAGGCAGCAGUGGGGAAUUUUGGACAAUGGGGGCAACCCUGAUCCAGCCAUGCCGCGUGAGUGAAGAAGGCCUUCGGGUUGUAAAGCUCUUUCGGCCGGGAAGAAAUCGCAUGGGCCAAUACCCUGUGUGGAUGACGGUACCGGAAUAAGAAGCACCGGCUAACUACGUG